GCAGGCCUUUCUUCUGAGUAGUUCACAAUUUUAGGGGGUUUGUUUGAAUUGUGAUUACUGUUAUCAAUAUUGAUUCGAUUAAGUAUCCUAUACGUAGUUAGUGCGUUUCUUACUGCUGGUGUAUUUGUUUUCCGAGUAACAAUGCAAGUCAGUGCAGCCUGGGUGAUCAGUACAACCUAAAUUGUGAAUGUUAAAUGUCCUUUAAACAGCAUUACACCAAGUGAAGAGUUAAUUUAAGUUAAUGAAGAGUGGUUGAGUUAAAUCUUCAGUUGCUUACAAGGUUUUGAGUAAUGUUAGAAACGUAAUGAUCAUAAACGUAAAGUCAACUCUAUACGUGCUUCCAUGGACAGCAGAGAUUCUGAGGACUAGGUGUUCUUUCCCUGAAAUAGGAACAGCUGAAUUAAAUUCCUUGUCGAUACUAGAAAAGGAGCACCAUGGUAGAGGCCCAGUCUGACUGCCAGAGACAGUUCCAGGCAGCUGUGUCUGUCAUCCAGUCCCUGCCAAAAAAUGGUUCUUACCGCCCAUCCCAUGAGAAGAUGCUGAAGUUUUACAGUUACUACAAACAAGCAACUGUAGGCCCCUGUUGCAUCAGCAGGCCUGGAUUCUGGGAUCCCAUUGGUCGCUUAAAAUGGGAUGCAUGGAAAGCUCUGGGGAACAUGUCAAAAAAAGAGGCCAUGGGAAAUUACGUCGAAGAGAUAAAAAAAGCAGCCAGAGAGGUCAUGGAUAAAAUGUCAGGGACUGAAAAUGCAGAGCAGCAUUUCCACCUGUUCGAACCGCUCUACGAAGUUGUUGAGGACAUGCCUCGGCCGCCAGGCUUUCCCCUGAAGAAGGCACCAGGAAAGACAGUCCGAUUUCAAGAGGAUGUUGGGCAAGAUGGUGUCAGUAGUCAUGAGACACGUCAAAUGAAUAACAUUCAUUCAGAAGAUGAAGUUUGUGAUCGAGAGGUUGAGAUUUUACAGCAAGAAAUUGACAAAGAACCGCUACCUCUGGAGAGCUCCACUAUUCUUCAAAGAGUUACAGGCAGUGACUUUAAUUGCACAGCAGACGUAGUUGAUGCCAAUCAGUUCACGAGUGACUCAGAGAGCGAGGUCUUCUGCGAUUCAGUGGAAGAACUGGACCAUGAGAAGAUUUCAGAGAAAUACAGUAAUGGAGUGAUUGCCAAAUGUUCUCAAGAUUCUUCCCACUCACAAGACAUUGUGCAUACUCCACUGGUCCACAGCGCCUCACUGGACACUUAUAGACCAGCUGGGUACCAGCUUGCAGCUGAAGAAUUGCAUCAUUACCAGUCGACAUGUACCAGUAGCACUGAGGAGCAUGCAUUAGUUAUGGGAACUCAGGAGAAGAAAAAGACAGCAUUUGUGGACCUCUCCUUGGGACCUGAUGACGAGCUGAUCAAGGAAAAUGGCUUGCAGCAAGUUGAAGGCAGGUGCUCACAGAGGCUAAGAAAUGGCCUUGUCAACAAUAUAGAGGUCAACAAAAGGAGGAUGCAUGGAGAAAAGGGCAGAAUCAACCUCAAUGACAGGAUUGGAACGAUACUUCUACACCUACAGGAAGAUAUGCAGAAUGUCUUACAGCGACUUGGACAGUUGGAGGAACUGACAACAUCUCAGAUGGAAACAGCUGAGGUACAGCCUUCAUGCUUGAAAAUGACUAGGCUUAAGAGAGCCUCCAGGUGGUUGUUCAAUCCAUCCAGACGGACCUUGAUCUUUUUAGUUUUAUGGCCCUUUGUUGCUCAGUGGAUAGUCCAUGUACUUCGCAAGAGAAGGAGCUGAGGAAUUGUGGGACCAUUUUCAUUGAUCACUAGAGAGAAUGAGUUUGCAAAAAAGCACUCAACAGCCUUGAAGGAAAUAAGUAAACCUCUUAAAGGACGACACUAAGACUUCACCUUUUUUGUAUGGUAGCACAGUCAAACCUGACGUCGUCUGCAGAGCCGCACUUUCCUGCCUGAAGACAGCAAAGGAAUGAAACAGACACUGCACUCUGAAGCCUGUAGAGAGGAUAUUUGCAAGGCUGUAGCCUACGCUGGCAAACGUUGCUCUCUCGUGGUGAAAUUGCGGUAUUCUCAACCCAACGGUGUCAGGAGCCGUCAUUCCCAUUUUCUCCUGUGAAUCGACAAGCCUUUUCUCCAACGACUUCUCCGGCCACCUGCUGCCCCAGCGAUCGUGCUUCCUCCUCUCUUCUUCCCGGACACGCGGCGCUUCUUACUUGGAACUCUCGGCCAUGUUGGCUGCAUGUUUUCACUGUUAACUGCACCAGUCCAAUGAAAUAACGGCCACGCAUCAUACAGAUGUCCUUGAAGAUUUAUUUUUAUCUCUCUCUCUCUUGCUUCAGCAGACACCAUGAAAACUACAAGAAAAUAGAAGACACAAAAGGUUUAAAACAUACAUCUCUCAGUCUUUUAAAGUUUCUCAAGCUAGUGUCUGCCGAUAAACAGGCCCCAAAACACAUCAGCACAACAGAAGUGUGCUAAAAUCAAAUAAAAUCACUGAAAACGUAUCACACUGUCCAUGUAAAGGCACAUCAGCAAGAUUAUACACAAUAUAAAACAAAUAAAAAUAAUUACCGUGUGUGCCUCUUGGAUCACAUGCAAAAUAGGGUUAUUUUAGGGCCAUGUGUCUUUCUCUGCUACCAUGUUGGUUCUGACCCAUAAUGCCACAGUCAUGCUUUUAUUAAACUCUGGUCAUGUGGCCCAUUACACUCUACAUUAAAUAAAACCUUGCAUAAAAAGCACAAAAUUUUUAAUCAAACAUUAUUUUAAGAUUUAAAAAAUCAUGAAUUUAUGAUUAAAACAUACAAAAUAAACAUCUCAAUGAAACAUGUCUCUGAGACAGUUACAAGAAGGUCCAAGUCAUUACCUAUGCUGUUUCCCCAAUUCGUGCAGCUAAGCUGAAGGCAUAUGUAUGCUUGCUGAAUUAUUAUAAUAAAUUCUUGUCAUAUCUAGCAAUUGCUACAAAAGGAUGUGAAGUGGAAAUAGACUGAAGCUCAAGAAAGAUCAUCUGUGCAUUCCAAGGUGCAGGGUCUGCUGAUGUGCCAGUUUGCUACUCAAAAGCCAGAGAGUUUGGUCAUCAUAGUGUUGGUGCUGUGUUGUCUCAUCAUAUGUAUUAUAGUUCUGAAGAACUGAGAGGUUUUUAUGUUAUCAAUAUUUUCAGCAGCAGAGAAAAAGUACUCACAGCUAGAUGAAGAAGGUUUAGUCAUCUUGGCUGGAUUGCAGUAGUACCAUAUUAUCAUGUACAGAAACCCCUGAUUUCCCUGUUCCAUGAAGUAAACCCAGUGCAUCAAGUUGUUUCCCCAUGAAUUGAAAAAUGGCUUUAACCAUGAGAACUUGUGAAUAUACAAUUGCUUUCAAAAUAAUGAACUACCAGGUGCAACAUGCUGUAAGGUUUCACUGUU
Mobula hypostoma (lesser devil ray) is the source of this 3390-nucleotide RNA transcript. It is a transcript of the gene named acyl-CoA-binding domain-containing protein 5-like, with no coding region annotated. NCBI's taxonomy places the organism in Eukaryota, Metazoa, Chordata, Chondrichthyes, Myliobatiformes, Myliobatidae. The transcript is spliced from 13 exons. The record is from RefSeq and is a predicted model, not a curated record.